Molecule: ribosomal RNA, 433 nt
Filed under: uncultured bacterium
Lineage: Bacteria
Description: partial 16S ribosomal RNA
Rfam family: Bacterial small subunit ribosomal RNA
Source: RNAcentral
AGCGAACGCUGGCGGCAGGCCUAACACAUGCAAGUCGAACGAACCUUUCGGGGUUAGUGGCGACGGGCGAGUAACACGUGGGAACGUGCCUUUAGGUUCGGAAUUACUCAGGGGAAUUUGUGCUAAUACCGAAUGCGGCCCUCGGGGGAAAGAAUUUUCGCCUUUAGAGGGGUCCGCGGCUGAUUAGCUAGUUGGUUGCGGUAAUGGCUCACCAAGGCGACGAUCAGUAGCUGGUUUGAGAGGAUGAUCAGCCACAUUGGGACUGAGACACGGCCCAAACUCCUACGGGAGGCAGCAGUGGGGAAUCUUGCGCAAUGGGCGAAGGCCUGACGCAGCCAUGCCGCGUGAAUGAUGAAGGUCUUAGGAUUGUAAAAUUCUUUCACCGGGGACGAUAAUGACGGUACCCGGAGAAGAAGCCCCGGCUAACUUCGUG